Molecule: long non-coding RNA, 350 nt
Filed under: Elaeis guineensis (African oil palm)
Lineage: Eukaryota; Viridiplantae; Streptophyta; Magnoliopsida; Arecales; Arecaceae
Description: long non-coding RNA (EGUI_LNC054075)
Source: RNAcentral
AGAUAUAAAAGAUACAAGUUUGGGUGUCUAGAGAGAAAAAUGUGAAGAAGAAGAGGGUCUUCUUCUAGGAUUUUUGUUUUCAUAUCUUUCCUCCCUCCAUCUUGAGUUUCCUGAGAGCGUCUCAGAUCUGAAACUCCUCCUUCUACUUUCCAUCUUUGGAAGAGUCCAAAUCAGGAAGAAGGAGGCACCUGAUCAACCAUCAAAGAAGGAUCAGUGCAGUACUAGCAUACUGUGCUGAUUUCCUGAAGCAGGACUUCUGAUCGAGAUUCGUGGGCUCGUGUGGACGACUCCUAGAGGCCGGACAUGUGUGCAGCUUGCAACAUCAUCCUUAAGCCCAGAUCAACGAGGUU